Molecule: ribosomal RNA, 253 nt
Filed under: uncultured bacterium
Lineage: Bacteria
Description: partial 16S ribosomal RNA
Rfam family: Bacterial small subunit ribosomal RNA
Source: RNAcentral
GACGGAGGAGGCUAGCGUUGUUCGGAAUUACUGGGCGUAAAGCGUACGCAGGUGGCGGUUCAAGUCGGAUGUGAAAGCCCGGGGCUCAACCCCGGAUGGGCAUCCGAUACUGGAUUGCUGGAGUCCGGAAGAGGAGAGCGGAAUUCCCAGUGUAGAGGUGAAAUUCGUAGAUAUUGGGAAGAACACCGGUGGCGAAGGCGGCUCUCUGGUCCGGUACUGACACUCAAGUACGAAAGCGUGGGGAGCAAACAGG